RNAcentral lists this ribosomal RNA (1565 nucleotides) under Varibaculum cambriense. Its description in RNAcentral is "partial 23S ribosomal RNA". It matches the Rfam family "Bacterial large subunit ribosomal RNA", at positions 850 to 2398 of the family's 2925-position model. The record is from RNAcentral. Lineage: Bacteria; Bacillati; Actinomycetota; Actinomycetes; Actinomycetales; Actinomycetaceae.
UGGUCCUCCCCGAAAGCCAUUGAGGUAGCGCCGCGGGAAGUCAUCUCCGGGGGCAGACCACUGUUUCGGCAAGGGGGUCAUCCCGACUUACCAAACCGAUGCAAACUCCGAAUACCUAUGAGUACUAUCCGGGAGACAGACUGCGGGUGCUAACGUCCGUAGUCAAGAGGAAAACAAUCCAGACCGCCAGCUAAGGCCCCAAAAUCAUAGUUAAGUGGGAAACGAUGUGGGAAGGCAUAGACAGCUAGGAGGUUGGCUUAGAAGCAGCCACCCUUUAAAGAAAGCGUAAUAGCUCACUAGUCGAGUCGGCCUGCGCGGAAGAUGUAACGGGGCUAAAACUAUGUGCCGAAGCUGCGGAUGUAACUUUAGAGUUACGUGGUAGGGGAGCGUUCUGUAAGCCGAUGAAGGUGUAUUGAGAAGUAUGCUGGAGGUAUCAGAAGUGCGAAUGCUGACGUGAGUAACGACAAAACGGGUGAAAAACCCGUUCGCCGAAAGACCAAGGGUUCCAGUCCAACGUUAAUCGGGGCUGGGUGAGUCGACCCCUAAGGCGAGGCCGAAAGGCGUAGUCGAUGGGAAAUGGGUUAAUAUUCCCAUACUUCUGUGUAAUGCGAUGAGAGGACGGAGAAGGCUAAAUCAGCCUGGCGUUGGUUGUCCAGGUGAAAGGAUGUAGGCAUGUAUCUUAGGCAAAUCCGGGGUGCUCUAUGCUGAGAGUCGAUAUCAAGCUGUACUUGUACAGUGAAGUGGCUGAUACCAUACUUCCAAGAAAAGUCUCUAAGCUUCAGUUACACAGGAAUCGUACCCGAAACCGACACAGGUGGUCAGGUCGAGUAGACCAAGGCGCUUGAGAGAACUCUGCUGAAGGAACUAGGCAAAAUGGUACCGUAACUUCGGGAGAAGGUACGCUGCUGAGGGUGAUGGGACUUGCUCCCUGAGCGCUUGGCAGCCGCAGAAACCAGGCCGCUGCAACUGUUUAUUAAAAACAUAGCACUCUGCAAACACGAAAGUGGACGUAUAGGGUGUGAUGCCUGCCCGGUGCUGGAAGGUUAAUUGAUGGGGUUAGCGUAAGCGAAGCUCUUGAUCGAAGCCCCAGUAAACGGCGGCCGUAACUAUAACGGUCCUAAGGUAGCGAAAUUCCUUGUCGGGUAAGUUCCGACCUGCACGAAUGGCAUAAUGAUGGCGGCGCUGUCUCCAGCAGAGGCUCAGUGAAAUCGAAAUCGCUGUGAAGAUGCAGUGUACCCGCGGCUAGACGGAAAGACCCCGUGAACCUUUACUGCAGCUUGACAUUGAACUUUGACCUUACUUGUGUAGGAUAGGUGGGAGGCUAUGAAGAUGUGACGCCAGUUGCAUUGGAGCCAUCCUUGAAAUACCACCCUGGUAAUGUUGAGGUUCUAACUCUGCCCCGUAAUCCGGGGCGAGGACCAUGUCUGGUGGGUAGUUUGACUGGGGCGGUCUCCUCCUAAAGAGUAACGGAGGAGUACGAAGGUGCGCUCAGCGUGGUCGGAAAUCACGCGUAGAGUAUAAAGGCAAAAGCGCGCUUAACUGCGAGACCCACAAGUCGAGCAGGU